RNAcentral lists this ribosomal RNA (477 nucleotides) under uncultured bacterium. RNAcentral's name for it is "partial 16S ribosomal RNA". It matches the Rfam family "Bacterial small subunit ribosomal RNA", at positions 36 to 507 of the family's 1533-position model. The record is from RNAcentral.
CUUUCCCUCUGGCGGCAUGCCUUACACAUGCAAGUCGAACGGUAACAGGUUAAGCUGCCGAGUGGCGAACGGGUGAGUAAUGUAUCGGAACGUGCCCAGUCGUGGGGGAUAACUGCUCGAAAGAGCAGCUAAUACCGCAUACGACCUGAGGGUGAAAGCGGGGGAUCGCAAGACCUCGCGCGAUUGGAGCGGCCGAUAUCAGAUUAGGUAGUUGGUGAGGUAAAGGCUCACCAAGCCGACGAUCUGUAGCUGGUCUGAGAGGACGACCAGCCACACUGGGACUGAGACACGGCCCAGACUCCUACGGGAGGCAGCAGUGGGGAAUUUUGGACAAAGGGCGCAAGCCUGAUCCAGCCAUGCCGCGUGCGGGAAGAAGGCCUUCGGGUUGUAAACCGCUUUUGUCAGGGAAGAAAAGGUUCUGGCUAAUACCUGGGACUCAUGACGGUACCUGAAGAAUAAGCACCGGCUAACUACGUG